Molecule: ribosomal RNA, 1437 nt
Filed under: uncultured organism
Description: 16S ribosomal RNA
Rfam family: Bacterial small subunit ribosomal RNA
Source: RNAcentral
CAGGCUUAACACAUGCAAGUCGAGGGGCAGCAUGGUCUUAGCUUGCUAAGGCCGAUGGCGACCGGCGCACGGGUGAGUAACACGUAUCCAACCUGCCGUCUACUCUUGGACAGCCUUCUGAAAGGAAGAUUAAUACAAGAUGGCAUCAUGAGUCCACAUGUUCACAUGAUUAAAGGUAUUCCGGUAGACGAUGGGGAUGCGUUCCAUUAGAUAGUAGGCGGGGUAACGGCCCACCUAGUCUUCGAUGGAUAGGGGUUCUGAGAGGAAGGUCCCCCACAUUGGAACUGAGACACGGUCCAAACUCCUACGGGAGGCAGCAGUGAGGAAUAUUGGUCAAUGGGCGAGAGCCUGAACCAGCCAAGUAGCGUGAAGGAUGACUGCCCUAUGGGUUGUAAACUUCUUUUAUAAAGGAAUAAAGUCGGGUAUGCAUACCCGUUUGCAUGUACUUUAUGAAUAAGGAUCGGCUAACUCCGUGCCAGCAGCCGCGGUAAUACGGAGGAUCCGAGCGUUAUCCGGAUUUAUUGGGUUUAAAGGGAGCGUAGAUGGAUGUUUAAGUCAGUUGUGAAAGUUUGCGGCUCAACCGUAAAAUUGCAGUUGAUACUGGAUAUCUUGAGUGCAGUUGAGGCAGGCGGAAUUCGUGGUGUAGCGGUGAAAUGCUUAGAUAUCACGAAGAACUCCGAUUGCGAAGGCAGCCUGCUAAGCUGCAACUGACAUUGAGGCUCGAAAGUGUGGGUAUCAAACAGGAUUAGAUACCCUGGUAGUCCACACGGUAAACGAUGAAUACUCGCUGUUUGCGAUAUACAGCAAGCGGCCAAGCGAAAGCGUUAAGUAUUCCACCUGGGGAGUACGCCGGCAACGGUGAAACUCAAAGGAAUUGACGGGGGCCCGCACAAGCGGAGGAACAUGUGGUUUAAUUCGAUGAUACGCGAGGAACCUUACCCGGGCUUAAAUUGCAGAUGAAUUACGGUGAAAGCCGUAAGCCGCAAGGCAUCUGUGAAGGUGCUGCAUGGUUGUCGUCAGCUCGUGCCGUGAGGUGUCGGCUUAAGUGCCAUAACGAGCGCAACCCUUGUUGUCAGUUACUAACAGGUCAUGCUGAGGACUCUGACAAGACUGCCAUCGUAAGAUGUGAGGAAGGUGGGGAUGACGUCAAAUCAGCACGGCCCUUACGUCCGGGGCUACACACGUGUUACAAUGGGGGGUACAGAGGGCCGCUACCACGCGAGUGGAUGCCAAUCCCAAAAACCUCUCUCAGUUCGGACUGGAGUCUGCAACCCGACUCCACGAAGCUGGAUUCGCUAGUAAUCGCGCAUCAGCCACGGCGCGGUGAAUACGUUCCCGGGCCUUGUACACACCGCCCGUCAAGCCAUGGGAGCCGGGGGUACCUGAAGUGCGUAACCGCGAGGAGCGCCCUAGGGUAAAACUGGUGACUGGGGCUAA